Molecule: long non-coding RNA, 873 nt
Organism: Schistocerca gregaria
Lineage: Eukaryota; Metazoa; Arthropoda; Insecta; Orthoptera; Acrididae
Exons: 7
Source: RefSeq, a predicted model, not a curated record
UGCAGACCACGUUUUCGAGUACAGUGACUCGCGUUGCCGACAUAAGAACGGAGUGUUUUGCAGCAGACGUUACGUCAGAGCAGUAAGAGGCGUGUUCGGUUCGCCGGUAACUGACGUGACACUGGUGGAAGAUCCAUCGGCAGUCCAGAAACCAGAACAGACCGUGGAUGAAAGAAAUAGUGGAUGCUAAUGGCUGCUGGAAAGAGGAAACAGUCAUACAGGGACCGACGAGAAGCGGCCAUUUGUACGUCCGGGCACGGCGAAAUUAAUGCAAACUGGGUCACGCACGCGCGCGUCGGCGGAGAUAGAAUUCGCGGCAUUGGCUGUCUCCCGCAGAAGUGGCCAGUUCGUUGCUUCGCGGCCCCGCCGCUUCCAGCGCGCGGCAACAGAUGGCAGCACCUCCGCCGCCGCCGUCAGAUAUGGCAGAGGCGUUGCUUGCCCAAACAUGGAACAGUUUUCGCUGGCCAGGGCGGUUUGUCCGUCGCGCCGGAUCGGAAAAAAACAACAAAUGCGGAGCAUCGAACGGCUACGAGCAGAGGACAGAAAUUUAAAAUGUGAUUCGGUGGGCUGCUUCGCGCACGAAGAGAGAAUGAUGACGCGGUUCCAGUGCACGGAAUCUUGACAAUACAGUGAGAAACUAACAGUCGAGAUGAAAGCGAUGAGUGAUUUUGACAGCAGAUGCGAUGUGGGCAUAGCGCAACGCAUCCCAAAAACCGGCACGUCUGACGCUGUGGAAGGGCUGAUCAGAUUCAGUUGGACAGUCGACUACACAACUCUAUCAAACUGGGUUCCUUCACUAGAAGGUGGAGACGGGAGAGUCGCAGCCAGCAGCGCCAAAGUACUGGGCGAGCCGACCGCACACGGAAGUAAUGC